UGGGGAAUAUUGCACAAUGGGCGCAAGCCUGAUGCAGCCAUGCCGCGUGUGUGAAGAAGGCCUUCGGGUUGUAAAGCACUUUCAGCGGGGAGGAAGGCGAUAAGGUUAAUAACCUCAUCGAUUGACGUUACCCGCAGAAGAAGCACCGGCUAACUCCGUGCCAGCAGCCGCGGUAAUACGUAGGGUGCAAGCGUUAAUCGGAAUUACUGGGCGUAAAGCGCACGCAGGCGGUCUUGCAAGUCGGAUGUGAAAUCCCCGGGCUCAACCUGGGAACUGCAUUCGAAACUGGCAGGCUAGAGUCUUGUAGAGGGGGGUGGAAUUCCAGGUGGAGCGGUGAAAUGCGUGGAGAUGUGGAGGAAUACCGGUGGCGAAGGCGGCCCCCUGGACAAAAACUGACGCUCAGGUGCGAAAGCGUGGGGAGCAAACAGG
Molecule: ribosomal RNA, 429 nt
Filed under: Chloroflexota bacterium
Lineage: Bacteria; Bacillati; Chloroflexota
Description: Chloroflexi bacterium partial 16S ribosomal RNA
Rfam family: Bacterial small subunit ribosomal RNA
Source: RNAcentral